UACAGGGGGGGCAAGCGUUGUUCGGAGUUACUGGGCGUAAAGGGCUCGUAGGUGGCCAACUAAGUCAGACGUGAAAUCCCUCGGCUUAACCGGGGAACUGCGUCUGAUACUGGAUGGCUUGAAUCCGGGAGAGGGAUGCGGAAUUCCAGGUGUAGCGGUGAAAUGCGUAGAUAUCUGGAGGAACACCGGUGGCGAAGGCGGCAUCCUGGACCGGCAUUGACGCUGAGGAGCGAAAGCCAGGGGAGCAAACGGG
This 253-nucleotide ribosomal RNA is filed under the name uncultured bacterium. RNAcentral describes it as "partial 16S ribosomal RNA". It matches the Rfam family "Bacterial small subunit ribosomal RNA", at positions 524 to 776 of the family's 1533-position model. The record is from RNAcentral.